RNAcentral lists this ribosomal RNA (1448 nucleotides) under Burkholderia cepacia. RNAcentral's name for it is "bacterial SSU rRNA". It matches the Rfam family "Bacterial small subunit ribosomal RNA". Lineage: Bacteria; Pseudomonadati; Pseudomonadota; Betaproteobacteria; Burkholderiales; Burkholderiaceae. The record is from RNAcentral.
ACGGCAGCACGGGUGCUUGCACCUGGUGGCGAGGGCGAACGGGUGAGUAUACAUCGGAACAUGUCCUGUAGUGGGGGAUAGCCGGGGUCGACGAGCGAGACAUCAGCGACGCGAUGACGGACAGAGGGCUACGGAUCGGCGGCGAAAGCCGGAUUAAUACCGCAUACGAUCCACGGAUGAAAGCGGGGGACCUUCGGGCCUCGCGCUAUAGGGUUGGCCGAUGGCUGAUUAGCUAGUUGGUGGGGUAAAGGCCUACCAAGGCGACGAUCAGUAGCUGGUCUGAGAGGACGACCAGCCACACUGGGACUGAGACACGGCCCAGACUCCUACGGGAGGCAGCAGUGGGGAAUUUUGGACAAUGGGCGAAAGCCUGAUCCAGCAAUCCGCGUGUGUGAAGAAGGCCUUCGGGUUGUAAAGCACUUUUGUCCGGAAAGAAAUCCUUGGCUCUAAUACAGUCGGGGGAUGACGGUACCGGAAGAAUAAGCACCGGCUAACUACGUGCCAGCAGCCGCGGUAAUACGUAGGGUGCAAGCGUUAAUCGGAAUUACUGGGCGUAAAGCGUGCGCAGGCGGUUUGCUAAGACCGAUGUGAAAUCCCCGGGCUCAACCUGGGAACUGCAUUGGUGACUGGCAGGCUAGAGUAUGGCAGAGGGGGGUAGAAUUCCACGUGUAGCAGUGAAAUGCGUAGAGAUGUGGAGGAAUACCGAUGGCGAAGGCAGCCCCCUGGGCCAAUACUGACGCUCAUGCACGAAAGCGUGGGGAGCAAACAGGAUUAGAUACCCUGGUAGUCCACGCCCUAAACGAUGUCAACUAGUUGUUGGGGAUUCAUUUCCUUAGUAACGUAGCUAACGCGUGAAGUUGACCGCCUGGGGAGUACGGUCGCAAGAUUAAAACUCAAAGGAAUUGACGGGACCGCACAAGCGGUGGAUGAUGUGGAUUAAUUCGAUGCAACGCGAAAAACCUUACCUACCCUUGACAUGGUCGGAAUCCUGCUGAGAGGCGGGAGUGCUCGAAAGAGAACCGGCGCACAGGUGCUGCAUGGCUGUCGUCAGCUCGUGUCAGAUGUUGGGUUAAGUCCCGCAACGAGCGCAACCCUUGUCCUUAGUUGCUACGCAAGAGCACUCUAAGGAGACUGCCGGUGACAAACCGGAGGAAGGUGGGGAUGACGUCACCAGGUGGCGGGAUGCAAUGGUCGGAACAGAGGGUUGCCAACCCGCGAGGGGGAGCUAAUCCCAGAAAACCGAUCGUAGUCCGGAUUGCACUCUGCAACUCGAGUGCAUGAAGCUGGAAUCGCUAGUAAUCGCGGAUCAGCAUGCCGCGGUGAAUACGUUCCCGGGUCUUGUACACACCGCCCGUCACACCAUGGAGUGGGUUACCAGAAGUGGCUAGUCUCCGCAAGGAGACGGUCACCACGGUAGGAUUCAUGACUGGGGUGAAGUCGUAACAAGG